GACGAACGCUGGCGGCGUGCUUAACACAUGCAAGUCGAACGGAAAGGCCCUGCUUUUGUGGGGUGCUCGAGUGGCGAACGUGUGAGUAACACGUGAGUAACCUGCCCUUGACUUUGGGAUAACUUCAGGAAACUGGGGCUAAUACCGGAUAGGAGCUCCUGCUGCAUGGUGUGGGUUGGAAAGUUUCGGCGGUUGGGGAUGGACUCGCGGCUUAUCAGCUUGUUGGUGGGGUAGUGGCUUACCAAGGCUUUGACGGGUAGCCGGCCUGAGAGGGUGACCGGCCACAUUGGGACUGAGAUACGGCCCAGACUCCUACGGGAGGCAGCAGUGGGGAAUAUUGCACAAUGGGCGGAAGCCUGAUGCAGCAACGCCGCGUGCGGGAUGACGGCCUUCGGGUUGUAAACCGCUUUCGCCUGUGACGAAGCGUGAGUGACGGUAAUGGGUAAAGAAGCACCGGCUAACUACGUG
RNAcentral lists this ribosomal RNA (468 nucleotides) under uncultured bacterium. RNAcentral's name for it is "partial 16S ribosomal RNA". It matches the Rfam family "Bacterial small subunit ribosomal RNA", at positions 28 to 507 of the family's 1533-position model. The record is from RNAcentral.